UAGGGAAUCUUCGGCAAUGGACGAAAGUCUGACCGAGCAACGCCGCGUGAGUGAAGAAGGUUUUCGGAUCGUAAAACUCUGUUGUUAGAGAAGAACAAGGACGUUAGUAACUGAACGUCCCCUGACGGUAUCUAACGAGAAAGCCACGGCUAACUACGUGCCAGCAGCCGCGGUAAUACGUAGGUGGCAAGCGUUGUCCGGAUUUAUUGGGCGUAAAGCGAGCGCAGGCGGUUUCUUAAGUCUGAUGUGAAAGCCCCCGGCUCAACCGGGGAGGGUCAUUGGAAACUGGGAGACUUGAGUGCAGAAGAGGAGAGUGGAAUUCCAUGUGUAGCGGUGAAAUGCGUAGAUAUAUGGAGGAACACCAGUGGCGAAGGCGGCUCUCUGGUCUGUAACUGACGCUGAGGCUCGAAAGCGUGGGGAGCAAACAGG
Molecule: ribosomal RNA, 429 nt
Filed under: Chloroflexota bacterium
Lineage: Bacteria; Bacillati; Chloroflexota
Description: Chloroflexi bacterium partial 16S ribosomal RNA
Rfam family: Bacterial small subunit ribosomal RNA
Source: RNAcentral